AUCAACGCUGGCGGCGUGCCUAACACAUGCAAGUCGAACGAGAAAGUGGAGCAAUCCAUGAGUACAGUGGCGAACGGGUGAGUAACACGUGACUAACCUGCCUUCGAGUGGGGGAUAACCUCGGGAAACCGGGGCUAAUACCGCAUAACAUCCUCAGGGUGCAAUUCCCAGGGGACCAAAGGCGUAAGACGCUUGAAGAGGGGGUCGCGGCUGAUUAGCUAGUUGGUGAGGUAAUGGCUCACCAAGGCGAAGAUCGGUAGCCGGCCUGAGAGGGCGCACGGCCACACUGGAACUGAAACACGGUCCAGACUCCUACGGGAGGCAGCAGUGGGGAAUUUUGCGCAAUGGGGGAAACCCUGACGCAGCAACGCCGCGUGGAGGAUGAAGCCCCUUGGGGCGUAAACUCCUUUCGAUCGGGACGAUUAUGACGGUACCGGAUGAAGAAGCACCGGCUAACUCUGUGCCAGCAGCCGCGGUAAUACAGAGGGUGCGAGCGUUGUUCGGAAUUAUUGGGCGUAAAGGGCGCGUAGGCGGUGCGGCAAGUCACCUGUGAAACCUCUG
Molecule: ribosomal RNA, 561 nt
Filed under: uncultured bacterium
Lineage: Bacteria
Description: bacterial SSU rRNA
Rfam family: Bacterial small subunit ribosomal RNA
Source: RNAcentral